AGACCUCAUUCUUGUGGAUUCAUGUAAACCUUUGAAUUAGAUUCCCACCCUCAAGCCUUGUUAAAGGAGGACUUCCCCCAUCGCUAAAGGAAGCAAAAAGGUGGUUCAUUUAGGUAACCAAAAAUGCCUGGAUGUUCUGCUAUUAACUGUUCCAAUAGAGCGGAGCAAGGAUUUAAGAUGAAAGUGUUUCCAAAGGAUCCUAAUUUACGUGCCAUUUGGAAAGCUAGAGUGAAACGACGGGAUUGGAGUCCUACCAAGAAUAGUUACUUGUGUGAGGCACAUUUUGAGGAAAAUCAAUGGGAAGUGUCACCAUUAAAUGGAAAAAGAAAACUAAAAAAAAAAUGCUGUCCCAACAUUAUUUUCUGAGAUCGAAGGAUUGAUUUCAAGAAAGUCACCAAGAGAACGACCGCGCCUUGAAACGGUACAAAAAACUGAUGAAUUUGUGCACAUACUACAUGAGAUGAGACAUAAAGAUCAACACAUUGAGUUUCUAACAGAGUCUCUUCAGAAAAUGAAAGACGUGAAUGCUGUGCAUCAGCGGCGAAAUGAAUCUUUAAAAAAAAGAGUGAUGACAAUGUCGAUGAAAUAUUGUGUAUUGAAAGCAAAGUUUUCAAGAACGAGGAGAAAACUUAUUUGUGUCCUGAAGACUUGAAUUACAAUUUUCUAACUUGAUGAUGAAAAAUUAGCUUACUCAGUUUUAUUGCUAAAGUUUUUAAAGUAAAAAACAUAAUGUAUAUACAUAUUUUUAAAGUUUAUUUCAGAUUCAAAAUUUCAAAUAUAUUUGGCAUAGCUUUGAGUCUUGUAGCCCAUUAAUUUAAAUGAGAGUGAAAACAUUUAAAAUUCUCUUGUUAUUAUUAAUUUUACAUUUAUUUCUCAUUCAUUUCAAUUUUUGAAAAUGUGCAACCCCAAUUGCAUUUAUUAAAAGUAUGUACUUAUAUCUAACAAUCUUUACUAAUAAUAAAGCGGAAA
Uloborus diversus is the source of this 969-nucleotide long non-coding RNA. RefSeq lists it as uncharacterized. The transcript has 3 exons. NCBI's taxonomy places the organism in Eukaryota, Metazoa, Arthropoda, Arachnida, Araneae, Uloboridae. The record is from RefSeq and is a predicted model, not a curated record.